This 327-nucleotide ribosomal RNA is filed under the name uncultured Omnitrophica bacterium. RNAcentral describes it as "bacterial SSU rRNA". It matches the Rfam family "Bacterial small subunit ribosomal RNA", at positions 29 to 351 of the family's 1533-position model. Lineage: Bacteria; Pseudomonadati; Candidatus Omnitrophota. The record is from RNAcentral.
AGUGAACGCUGGCGGCGUGGUUUAGGCAUGCAAGUCGAACGAUACCGCAAGGUAUAGUGGCAAAAGGGUGCGUAACACGUGAGCAAUCUACCUUUGAGUGGGGAAUAACCUUGGGAAACCGGGGCUAAAACCGCAUAUGACUACGGAUAGGCAUCUAUCUGUGGUAAAAGACAGGGACCGCAAGGCCUGUCGCUUGAAGAUGAGCUCGCGUCCUAUCAGCUUGUUGGCGGGGUAACGGCCCACCAAGGCUUUUGACGGGUAGCUGGUCUGAGAGGAUGGUCAGCCACAUUGGGACUGAGAUACUGCCCAGACUCCUACGGGAGGCUG